UCGGUCGUAGCUCAGUUGGUAGAGCAUCGGGUUGUGGUUCCGAGUGUCGCGGGUUCGAUCCCCGUCGAUCGACCCA
RNAcentral lists this transfer RNA (76 nucleotides) under Patescibacteria group bacterium. RNAcentral describes it as "tRNA-His". It matches the Rfam family "tRNA". Rfam says of the family: Transfer RNA (tRNA) molecules are approximately 80 nucleotides in length. Their secondary structure includes four short double-helical elements and three loops (D, anti-codon, and T loops). Further hydrogen bonds mediate the characteristic L-shaped molecular structure. tRNAs have two regions of fundamental functional importance: the anti-codon, which is responsible for specific mRNA codon recognition, and the 3' end, to which the tRNAs corresponding amino acid is attached (by aminoacyl-tRNA synthetases). tRNAs cope with the degeneracy of the genetic code in two manners: having more than one tRNA (with a specific anti-codon) for a particular amino acid; and 'wobble' base-pairing, i.e. permitting non-standard base-pairing at the 3rd anti-codon position. The record is from RNAcentral.